Non-coding RNA from Macaca mulatta (Rhesus monkey), 2509 nucleotides. The record is from RefSeq and is a predicted model, not a curated record. Lineage: Eukaryota; Metazoa; Chordata; Mammalia; Primates; Cercopithecidae.
CGACCCGGAGCGAAGGUCUCGCGAGGCUUGGGCGCUGCGGCGGCAGGAGGAGGACGGGGAAGGACGGAGCCGAGCCGCGGCUUCCUCCCUCGCUCACUCCCUCGCGCGCUCGCCCGCCCCCUCCCUCCCUCCCCUCCCUUCCCCGGCCCCGGCUCUGGCCCCGGCCCAUUCGCUGUUGGGUCUUCUGCUAGGGAGGAUGUCGGGCUCGUCGCUGCCCAGCGCCCUGGCCCUCUCGCUGUUGCUGGUUUCUGGCUCCCUCCUCCCAGGGCCAGGCGCCGCUCAGAACGCUGGGUUUGUCAAGUCGCCCAUGUCAGAAACUAAGCUCACGGGGGACGCCUUUGAGCUGUACUGUGACGUGGUCGGGAGCCCCACGCCAGAGAUCCAGUGGUGGUACGCAGAAGUCAACCGGGCAGAGUCUUUCAGACAGCUGUGGGACGGUGCUCGGAAGCGCCGUGUCACCGUAAACACCGCCUACGGGUCAAACGGCGUGAGUGUGCUGAGAAUAACCCGGCUCACCUUGGAGGACUCUGGGACUUACGAGUGCAGGGCCAGCAACGACCCCAAGAGGAAUGACUUGAGGCAAAACCCUUCCAUAACAUGGAUUCGAGCCCAGGCCACCAUAAGCGUCCUUCAGAAGCCAAGGAUUGUCACCAGUGAAGAGGUCAUUAUUCGAGACAGCCCUGUUCUCCCUGUCACCCUGCAGUGUAACCUCACCUCCAGCUCUCACACCCUUACAUACAGCUACUGGACAAAGAAUGGGGUGGAACUGAGUGCCACUCGUAAGAAUGCCAGCAACAUGGAGUACAGGAUCAAUAAGCCGAGAGCUGAGGAUUCAGGCGAAUACCACUGCGUAUAUCACUUUGUCAGCGCUCCUAAAGCAAACGCCACCAUUGAAGUGAAAGCCGCUCCUGACAUCACUGGCCAUAAACGGAGUGAGAACAAGAAUGAAGGGCAGGAUGCCACGAUGUAUUGCAAGUCAGUUGGCUACCCCCACCCAGACUGGAUAUGGCGCAAAAAGGAGAACGGGAUGCCCAUGGACAUUGUCAACACCUCUGGCCGCUUCUUCAUCAUCAACAAGGAAAAUUACACUGAGUUGAACAUUGUGAACCUGCAGAUCACGGAAGACCCUGGCGAGUAUGAAUGUAACGCCACCAACGCCAUUGGCUCCGCCUCUGUUGUCACUGUCCUCAGGGUGCGGAGCCACCUGGCCCCACUCUGGCCUUUCUUGGGAAUUCUGGCUGAAAUUAUCAUCCUUGUGGUGAUCAUUGUUGUGUAUGAGAAGAGGAAGAGGCCAGAUGAGGUUCCUGACGAUCAUCAGGCAGAUUGAGCUUGAGGAGAAUCCAAGUCAAGCCUAGAAGCCACCCCAAGAUCGCAGGCCACCUGGCCUUUCAGGCAGAUUUAAGCUGGACCAAUGAAAACCAACUCUACCAACAAUCACAAAGAUAAAAACCUGCGCCAGAGAAACACAAAUUAAGUACUGCUUACAAUAUCUUUAGGUUCCUGAAACUGGUGGCAACAUGACCUGCUAAAUUUUCUGCUUGGACCUCUUUGGUUCUCUCCCCUUUCAAGUGAGCAGCACCACAAUGACUGUCUAAAGCAUGCCUUAUUUAGCCUCUCCUGUAAGGGUGAUCUAGCCAGGUACAUUUUAAACAAUGCUUCAGUGUAGAAGGUGUAAACUAUUUUGGGCUUGAUGUGCUGUGAAUGUUGCUUUUUUUCCUUUGUUAAAAUAUUUAAAUAGAAGUGAAAAGGUCCUCUGAGGAUCAGAUCAUGCAUGCGCCAUUUUUUACUUAAUGCAGCUGUUAAAUUGGCAAAGCUCUAAAAUGCACUGCUGCCAUCUAGUGAUACAUUUUUGUAAAGUACAGCAAAACCUACAGAUAUAUACAGUAUAUAAAUAUAUAUAUAUAUAUUUAUAUUUUUGGGGGUGGGAGAAAUCCAAAAUAAAGUAAAUGCUUGUUUCAUUUUUAAGCUGCUGAUAUUCAUUCCUUAUUGUAUGUUGUCAUGAGGAAAUUGUGCAGUUCUGGUACAUAAAGAUGAGUAAUAUAAACUGAAAUCUAUAAUUUUAAGGGCUUAACCUGUGACUUUAAUAAGCUGGAACAGUCCACUGAAUGGGUAUAAUGAAUUGCAGUAUAUACGUAUGAUUGCUUUUUAAGUGAUUAUCUUUUCUUUUGUUAAGUCAUGUAAAUUCAUAAAUCCUUUUGCACUGAUGUGUUGAACCUUAUUCUUGUACAUUCAAUCAAGGCAAACUUUUAUAAUUUUUCUUUUGUUUCCAAUGACCUUGAAAUGUUAUAGCAUGGUGAUAUUCUAUGCAACUAUAGUUAUACUUUUUGGUUUGACACUGUAUUUUUUCACAUUGAUUUACUGGUUGAUGAUAGAUUUUAUAACCUAACAGGGUUCUCAUGCGGUGCGUAACUGUAGAUGCAUGUACUUGUGUUUUGUGUAAUUAUUGAAGUGCAAUGAUGUAUAAAAGUGGAUUCACCUGUUUUUAAAAAUAAAACAUUGAUAAAAGGUG